AGUUUGAUCCUGGCUCAGAGCGAACGCUGGCGGCAGGCCUAACACAUGCAAGUCGAACGGACCCUUCGGGGUUAGUGGCGGACGGGUGAGUAACACGUGGGAACGUGCCUUUAGGUUCGGAAUAGCUCCUGGAAACGGGUGGUAAUGCCGAAUGUGCCCUUCGGGGGAAAGAUUUAUCGCCUUUAGAGCGGCCCGCGUCUGAUUAGCUAGUUGGUGAGGUAACGGCUCACCAAGGCGACGAUCAGUAGCUGGUCUGAGAGGAUGACCAGCCACACUGGGACUGAGACACGGCCCAGACUCCUACGGGAGGCAGCAGUGGGGAAUCUUGCGCAAUGGGCGAAAGCCUGACGCAGCCGUGCCGCGUGAAUGAUGAAGGUCUUAGGAUUGUAAAAUUCUUUCACCGGGGACGAUAAUGACGGUACCCGGAGAAGAAGCCCCGGCUAACUUCGUGCCAGCAGCCGCGGUAAUACGAAGGGGGCUAGCGUUGCUCGGAAUUACUGGGCGUAAAGGGCGCGUAGGCGGAUCGUUAAGUCAGAGGUGAAAUCCCAGGGCUCAACCCUGGAACUGCCUUUGAUACUGGCGAUCUUGAGUGC
RNAcentral lists this ribosomal RNA (593 nucleotides) under uncultured bacterium. RNAcentral's name for it is "bacterial SSU rRNA". It matches the Rfam family "Bacterial small subunit ribosomal RNA", at positions 10 to 649 of the family's 1533-position model. The record is from RNAcentral.